AGACCAGAAGUUUUUUGAAUUCCAUCUCUAAUGACCUGCAGAUCAGAAGACUGGUAAACCUGGAGCCUCAUCCCAGGAGGUGAUGGUGUCUGGGUUUAUUAUGGAUUGCAGGAUGUAACUAUCAAUCUGGAGCUUUAGGGGGAAGAAGAAAGAAUAUUUUGAACCACACCAGGAGAAUUACCCUAGAGAAUAUAAGUUCACCUGCCAAAAUGGGAGGCUGGCAUCUUUUUGCUCUAUGAGAAGGCUGCUGAGCUAACAGGUCUGCCUUGGCAUAAAUAUCUAGAAGAGCAUGUGUCUCCUGGAGUAUGGGGACAUUUGUGUUUCCAUAAAUUGGCAGCUACUUCUGGUUAGAGACUUCUAAAAGGUCUGGAAUACUGGAAUACUGGUAUAGUCCAAAAGGGGAAGAUGAAAAGGAGCCGUGGAACAUUGUACCUGGGAAGAAGAUGGGACAUUACUCUCCGCAUGCCCUGGAGCUUUCGGAAGACGUAUAAGAGGAUCUUAGUUUCCAUAGCUCCACAUGAAAGAGCAAGCAGGGCUGCUGAUGUCCACUGUGGGCUCCAAGUGAGGGACUGGCCCAUGGGCAGGAGGUGAGGGAGACUUACUUGCUUUUCUCUGAGCUGGUCCACAGCAGCAGAGGAGACUGGGGUGAGCCUCACUCCAGAAUACUUGUAGAGUAUGUGACACUGGUUCCCAACCUUGGCUCCACAAAAAUUACCUGUGAACCUUUUAAAAUACACAUAAGAAAUUCUUACUGAAUUGAACUGGGAUGAGAUUCCACAUAUCAGGAUUCUGUAAAAGCUCCCCCAAUGACUCAAGAUGAAGUCCGGGUUGAAGACCAGUGAUAUGCAGGAAAUGUGUCCUGUGAUUUGGAACCACAUUCCAUUUGUCAAGCAAGACACUACGGCCACAUAAUGGAGAUCUACUUCCAUAUGAACCAGUGGAUUUCACUCUGCUUAAUGGUAUCCUGUUAGGUUACAGAGGUGAAAAGCUGAACAAAGUGUUUCAACUCUGAAGUCACAGUCCGUGGAAGAAAUAGACACACCUGCACACAUACUUUCAACACAGCAUUGUCAAGUCCCGAGAUGCACAGGAUGCUAGAGGAAUAGGGAU
Gorilla gorilla gorilla (western lowland gorilla) is the source of this 1110-nucleotide long non-coding RNA. RefSeq lists it as uncharacterized. The transcript is spliced from 3 exons. The record is from RefSeq and is a predicted model, not a curated record. NCBI's taxonomy places the organism in Eukaryota, Metazoa, Chordata, Mammalia, Primates, Hominidae.